Molecule: ribosomal RNA, 470 nt
Filed under: uncultured bacterium
Lineage: Bacteria
Description: bacterial SSU rRNA
Rfam family: Bacterial small subunit ribosomal RNA
Source: RNAcentral
ACUCCUACGGGAGGCAGCAGUGGGGAAUAUUGCACAAUGGGCGCAAGCCUGAUGCAGCCAUGCCGCGUGUAUGAAGAAGGCCUUCGGGUUGUAAAGUACUUUCAGCAGUGAGGAAGGUGGGUAUGUUAAUAGCAUAUUCAUUUGACGUUAGCUGCAGAAGAAGCACCGGCUAACUCCGUGCCAGCAGCCGCGGUAAUACGGAGGGUGCGAGCGUUAAUCGGAAUUACUGGGCGUAAAGCGCAUGCAGGUGGUUUGUUAAGUCAGAUGUGAAAGCCCGGGGCUCAACCUCGGAAUUGCAUUUGAAACUGGCAAACUAGAGUACUGUAGAGGGGGGUAGAAUUUCAGGUGUAGCGGUGAAAUGCGUAGAGAUCUGAAGGAUACCGGUGCGAAGGCGGCCCCCUGGACAGAUACUGACACUCAGAUGCGAAAGCUGGGGAGCAAACAGGAUUAGAUCCCCUGGUAGGCUCUGC